Gallus gallus (chicken) is the source of this 1250-nucleotide long non-coding RNA. NCBI's taxonomy places the organism in Eukaryota, Metazoa, Chordata, Aves, Galliformes, Phasianidae. The record is from Ensembl.
CGGGGGCCCCGCGGCUCCGUGCUGAGGGUCGGCGCCCGUGCAGCGCGAGCAGCGCGGCCGGGGCCUGCAGAAAGUUUCCGCGGCGGCAGGUGGACGGCAGGCUGGGACCUGUUGCAAUUCCUGAUCGUUCUGGCCGCGUUUCAUCAAGCAGUUGUGACUUGAGAACUGUCCCGGCCCUCGCGCCCCAUAACCACGCGGUUUCCUUGGCCUCCUUUGGCGCUUACGUCCCUUCUCGUCCCCCAGCAAGCUUCCUGCACGGCGAAACCGAGCCGCGUUUUGCGCCCCGUCGGGCGGCGGAAGGGUUAAGUCCCGCUGCGCUGAGCGUUUCGGCGCUCGUUGGCUGCCGGCCCAGCGCUCUCGGUGCCGUAUUGCAUCAGAGCGGGCAGGAGCACCUCGCUGCGCUCCCCCUCUGCGCGCUGUACUUGGAGCGCUUCGCCGUUUCCCACGGCAUGUUAAUUUUUUCCCUCCGUGGUCUCCAGGAUUCCUUCUCACGGGUUUCUUGGAGGAUGUUCUGCCCCGCUCCUCCCACCCAGGUUGAGGGCAGGGCGCCGCUCCGCUCUGCCCUACGCCGGGCGCCUGGAGCCCAUCUUUGCACCUCCGGCACACGGCGAGCCCUCGGUGCCGAAACGCUCCCCGCUCGGUGUCGAAACGUCGCCGCAGAGCAGUCCCGUGCGUUGCCCAGCGAGGUUCCCACCUUUGUCCCAGAUGACUGCAGAGGUCUGGCCAGGAUGUGUGCUGUCUUCCUGUGGUGUUGCAUAGCGCUCAGCGCAGCGAAGCUUCCCUCUUGAUGGAUGCCUUAGAGAUCCCACGUAAGCAAUAAUUCCUGUAGCUCAUUUACCUGCUCGUCAUAAUAAACUAGAAAGUAAGAACGCCACAAAAGACACUGAAGGAAAGCACUGUGGGCAUCACAUUCACAUCUGAUUUAACCAGCGACUCUCCCCAUCCUUCAAUCCUGAGCUGAAUACAAAAAGGACAACAGCUUUCCAGGUAGAGCGAUGUGAUAAAACAGGUGAUUUCUAAAAGCAAGUAAAGAACCCUAAAUUGUUGCCGCUCACCUUGGUAUUCAAAACUCAAAACCUCCACUCAAGAUCUCCUAAGAUGCAAAGUGAUCUUUACCACAGUUGUACAAGACAGAUCCCUGGCUGUUCCUGUGGCACCGUACAUCCUGUGCCAUCUCAGGAGCUGGCUUGGGGCAAUCCGAACUGAUCAGAACGAUGCUGCGAAGAAGGGUGGACAAGCUGCAGUGAACG